This 252-nucleotide ribosomal RNA is filed under the name uncultured bacterium. RNAcentral describes it as "partial 16S ribosomal RNA". It matches the Rfam family "Bacterial small subunit ribosomal RNA", at positions 525 to 776 of the family's 1533-position model. The record is from RNAcentral.
ACGGAGGGAGCUAGCGUUGUUCGGAAAUACUGGGCGUAAAGCGAACGUAGGCGGCUACGUAAGUCAGGGGUGAAAUCCCGGGGCUCAACCCCGGAACUGCCUUUGAAACUGCAUAGCUAGAAUCCUGGAGAGGUCAGUGGAAUUCCGAGUGUAGAGGUGAAAUUCGUAGAUAUUCGGAAGAACACCAGUGGCGAAGGCGACUGGCUGGACAGGUAUUGACGCUGAGGUUCGAAAGCGUGGGGAGCAAACAGG